Molecule: ribosomal RNA, 216 nt
Filed under: Escherichia coli
Lineage: Bacteria; Pseudomonadati; Pseudomonadota; Gammaproteobacteria; Enterobacterales; Enterobacteriaceae
Description: partial 23S ribosomal RNA
Rfam family: Bacterial large subunit ribosomal RNA
Source: RNAcentral
AAGCGACUAAGCGUACACGGUGGAUGCCCUGGCAGUCAGAGGCGAUGAAGGACGUGCUAAUCUGCGAUAAGCGUCGGUGAGGUGAUAUGAACCGUUAUAACCGGCGAUUUCCGAAUGGGGAAACCCAGUGUGUUUCGACACACUAUCAUUAACUGAAUCCAUAGGUUAAUGAGGCGAACCGGGGGAACUGAAACAUCUAAGUACCCCGAGGAAAAG